UAAAAGCCCCCCCACACUGUAAAACUAUCAUAAACAUCUCUCUUCUCUUUCAUCAAAUAUCUAUCUGCAAACAUUACAAACAAACAGUCCCCAAUUUGUUCUUUAGUUUUAUGAUCUUUUGGAAAAACAAAAAUUAAGGAUGUUUGAAUUGUUUGUGCUAGGAUGUACUGGUGUUGUCAUGUUCCUUCAUGGAGCUAAUUUCUUCUUCCAUGCUCUCUCUCAACAUAUGGCCAUUCGUUCCCUCAGCUUCUUAGGAUUUGUUGGUUGGUGAAGAUGAUGAUGAGCUAAAGUAAGGUUGCACCAACAGCAAUGUUAUUUUGUAAAUAUAUUUCAUUUUUUCAGUUUCUUUUACCUUUUUUUAUAAGACAAAUGUUACUUAUAUUGUUGUAGACUAGAAGAAAAUGGAAAGAGAAUACCUAUGAUGAAAAGGGCUUUUAAGUGUGUUAACGUAUAGCUUUGGACCCAUCAAAGUGAACUGCAAGGAUGGAGAGGCCUGUUUUCUGUGGCGAUGACCAAGAGGAAGAUCACCAUAUGCUGGAGCCCACUGCCGAGGUAACUGAAAUUCUAAAAAUUGUUCAAGUUCCUCGAUUGGCGGUUUAUCUGCAAAAAGAAUAUUCAUUAUCAGAGAUAAGAAGCUGUUUAUAGUUAUGUAGCUCUAAAUGAAAUAAAUGGAAAAGAAUUUCACAACUAUUGACACGAAAACAAAUUUGAUAUUCCUAAAACACACAAAGAAAGAUAUUCUUUCAUAGAAGUCAUAUAUGUUUAAACUGUGGGAGGGCUUCCACAGAGUAGGAGUGUAAUAGUCACGUGUUCUGCUCUCACAAAACUGAAGACAUUUGCAAAGAUCAAGUAAAAAAGAUAGGAUUUGUAACCCAAACAAUUCUACAGAAACUGGUGAUGGAAACUGAAAGCACAAAUUGAAGCAGGAUAACUUCUCCAAUUGCCAAAAUGCUUUACCCAACUUUUUGUAAGAUCGAGUGUGUAUUUUUGUUCAUGUCCACGUGAUAGAACUCUUCAACUGUUUUUGUACUGUUAUCAAUCCAGUGAUGCUUUGUUUGUUCAAUAAGCUAAUGCAAAUAGCCUAAUUGUAUUCCAAUACAUUUUUAUAUUUAUGAAAUACAUGAAAAAUAGCAACUACAA
Long non-coding RNA from Solanum pennellii, 1140 nucleotides. RefSeq lists it as uncharacterized. Lineage: Eukaryota; Viridiplantae; Streptophyta; Magnoliopsida; Solanales; Solanaceae. The transcript has 3 exons. The record is from RefSeq and is a predicted model, not a curated record.